Molecule: long non-coding RNA, 273 nt
Organism: Sardina pilchardus (European sardine)
Lineage: Eukaryota; Metazoa; Chordata; Actinopteri; Clupeiformes; Clupeidae
Exons: 4
Source: RefSeq, a predicted model, not a curated record
UUGGAUUUUGGACCCAUUAUGCAAUUAAGACAACAGAUGUGCAAGGAUCUCUUUAAUGCAACAGACAGAACACAGACAUGCAGUAACUGCCUGAACCCAGUGAGCACUGCAAACAAGGUUUGGGGAUCACCAAAGAAAUGGCAGAAAAAACAAAACAGACCCUCCACAAGAUGAAGGAAAAUGCCAACUCUACAUAUGAUGUUAAAGAGACCCUAUGCAACUUUCUGCAGGAGACGAUCGCUCUUUGUUUACAUCUGGAAGUCUGAGACGAAG